Molecule: ribosomal RNA, 253 nt
Filed under: uncultured bacterium
Lineage: Bacteria
Description: partial 16S ribosomal RNA
Rfam family: Bacterial small subunit ribosomal RNA
Source: RNAcentral
UACGAAGGGGGCUAGCGUUGUUCGGAAUCACUGGGCGUAAAGCGCACGUAGGCGGAUUUUUAAGUCAGGGGUGAAAUCCCGAGGCUCAACCUCGGAACUGCCUUUGAUACUGGAAAUCUUGAGUCCGGGAGAGGUGAGUGGAACUGCGAGUGUAGAGGUGAAAUUCGUAGAUAUUCGCAAGAACACCAGUGGCGAAGGCGGCUCACUGGCCCGGAACUGACGCUGAGGUGCGAAAGCGUGGGGAGCAAACAGG